This 433-nucleotide ribosomal RNA is filed under the name uncultured bacterium. RNAcentral's name for it is "bacterial SSU rRNA". It matches the Rfam family "Bacterial small subunit ribosomal RNA", at positions 28 to 462 of the family's 1533-position model. The record is from RNAcentral.
GAUGAACGCUGGCGGCGUGCUUAACACAUGCAAGUCACGGGGGCCCGAAGCGCAAGCUUUGGGUAACCGGCGAACGGGUGCGUAACACGUGAGCAACCUACCUAAGUGAGGGGGAUAGCCGGGCCAACGCCCGGGUAAUACCGCAUACGCUCAAUUUGAGGCAUUUUGAAUUGAGGAAACCUACGGGGCACUAUGAGGGGCUCGCGGCCUAUCAGCUAGUUGGUGAGGUAACGGCUCACCAAGGCGACGACGGGUAGCUGGUCUGAGAGGAUGGCCAGCCACAUUGGGACCGAGAUACGGCCCAGACUCCUACGGGAGGCAGCAGUGGGGAAUCUUGCGCAAUGGCCUAACGGCUGACGCAGCGACGCCGCGUGAGGGAUGACGCUCUUCGGAGUGUAAACCUCUUUUGUCUGAGACGAACUGUCAGCAUUUG